Molecule: transfer RNA, 234 nt
Filed under: Phaulopsis dorsiflora
Lineage: Eukaryota; Viridiplantae; Streptophyta; Magnoliopsida; Lamiales; Acanthaceae
Also listed under: 1 other name
Description: partial tRNA-His
Source: RNAcentral
CAAGGAAGACCCCUUUCUUAGGGGUUAAUUUAUGAUUGGGUACUGUUUCUUCGUUCUCUAUAAACUAUGGAUUUUUUGUAUCUAUCUAACUUAUUCUUAUGCAAUUUCUUGUUAAAUAAGUUUUUUUUUCUUUUAAAAAAAAUCUUAGAAAAAAGAAAGAAGAUUCUAAAAAGGUUAAAGAAGUUGAAGUUAAUAUUUAAUUAAUUAAAAGUAAAUGUAAAUUACAGGGGCGGA